UUGAAGUAAACAUGUAUGAAGUC
RNAcentral lists this microRNA (23 nucleotides) under Zea mays. Its description in RNAcentral is "microRNA miR-3087". The record is from RNAcentral. Lineage: Eukaryota; Viridiplantae; Streptophyta; Magnoliopsida; Poales; Poaceae.